UACGUAGGGUGCAAGCGUUGUCCGGAAUUAUUGGGCGUAAAGAGCUCGUAGGCGGUUUGUUGCGUCGGCUGUGAAAAUCCCGAGGCUCAACCUCGGGUCUGCAGUCGAUACGAGCAAACUAGAGUGUUGCAGGGGGAGACUGGAAUUCCUGGUGUAGCGGUGAAAUGCGCAGGAUAUCAGGAGGAACACCGGUGGCGAAGGCGGGGUCUCUGG
RNAcentral lists this ribosomal RNA (213 nucleotides) under uncultured bacterium. Its description in RNAcentral is "partial 16S ribosomal RNA". It matches the Rfam family "Bacterial small subunit ribosomal RNA", at positions 524 to 732 of the family's 1533-position model. The record is from RNAcentral.